GCUACAUAAUAUUCACUUUGGUUACAUACAUUGGCUAAUGAAUUUUUCAUUAUUUACUUGGGACCAUUUUAACUCAACAACAUACAACACCUGCUGCAAUGAACAUGUCUCGUGUUCAUAUACUUUAUGGAACUGUUUCUAUUUGUAACUGUGCAUACUCUUCCUUCAUUCGGGUCUCGCAUCAUCUGAAACUUCAAAUUGACUCCAGCCGCUCAUCACAUGUUUAAUUUCAAAAUACAUUUGCUAUCGUUUAGUAGCUUUUCUCCCUGACACUAUAUGGUGUGUCAGCUUCUACUCUAGAAGCUUUGCCUGUUUAUAUGAAGAUGCAAGAAGAUGGGUUUUUAAGAACGAAACAAGAGAUUCUGAGCUAAAAAUUUGUUACCUGGCUUUCCCACAGGGUGAAGUACCCCUUUAACAUUGUGCUCCACUCUCUUUUAAUUUGUUCCUCCGGAGUCUGUUNNN
RNAcentral lists this long non-coding RNA (462 nucleotides) under Capsella grandiflora. RNAcentral's name for it is "long non-coding RNA (CGRA_LNC000727)". Lineage: Eukaryota; Viridiplantae; Streptophyta; Magnoliopsida; Brassicales; Brassicaceae. The record is from RNAcentral.